RNAcentral lists this ribosomal RNA (413 nucleotides) under Babesia bovis. RNAcentral describes it as "SSU rRNA". It matches the Rfam family "Eukaryotic small subunit ribosomal RNA", at positions 486 to 984 of the family's 1831-position model. Lineage: Eukaryota; Apicomplexa; Aconoidasida; Piroplasmida; Babesiidae. The record is from RNAcentral.
CGGGGCUACUGCUCUGUAAUUGGCAUGGGGGCGACCUUCACCCUCGCCCGAGUACCCAUUGGAGGGCAAGUCUGGUGCCAGCAGCCGCGGUAAUUCCAGCUCCAAUAGCGUAUAUUAAACUUGUUGCAGUUAAGAAGCUCGUAGUUGUACUUUAUGUCCCUCGCGUGGUCCUUCCUCGCUAGGACGCCUCGUUACUUUGAGAAAAUUAGAGUGUUUCAAGCAGGUUUCGCCUGUAUAAUUGAGCAUGGAAUAACCUUGUAUGACCCUGUCGUACCGUUGGUUGACUUUGGGUAAUGGUUAAUAGGAACGGUUGGGGGCAUUCGUACUCGACUGUCAGAGGUGAAAUUCUUAGAUUUGUCGAUGACGCACGACUGCGAAAGCAUUUGCCAAGGACGCUUCCAUUAAUCAAGAAC